This 468-nucleotide ribosomal RNA is filed under the name uncultured bacterium. RNAcentral describes it as "partial 16S ribosomal RNA". It matches the Rfam family "Bacterial small subunit ribosomal RNA", at positions 28 to 507 of the family's 1533-position model. The record is from RNAcentral.
GACGAACGCUGGCGGCGUGCUUAACACAUGCAAGUCGAACGGAAAGGCCCUGCUUUUGUGGGGUGCUCGAGUGGCGAACGGGUGAGUAACACGUGAGUAACCUGCCCUUGACUUUGGGAUAACUUCAGGAAACUGGGGCUAAUACCGGAUAGGAUCUCCUGCUGCAUGGUGGGGGUUGGAAAGUUUCGGCGGUUGGGGAUGGACUCGCGGCUUAUCAGCUUGUUGGUGGGGUAGUGGCUUACCAAGGCUUUGCCGGGUAGCCGGCCUGAGAGGGUGACCGGCCACAUGGGGACUGAGAUACGGCCCAGACUCCAACGGGAGGCAGUAGUGGGGAAUAUUGCACAAUGGGCGGAAGCCUGAUGCAGCAACGCCGCGUGCGGGAUGACGGCCUUCGGGCUGUAAACCGCUUUCGCCUGUGACGAAGCGUGAGUGACGGUAAUAGGUAAAGAAGCACCGGCUAACUACGUG